Molecule: ribosomal RNA, 1091 nt
Filed under: uncultured bacterium
Lineage: Bacteria
Description: bacterial SSU rRNA
Rfam family: Bacterial small subunit ribosomal RNA
Source: RNAcentral
AAGCUUUAUGUGCUGAAAGAUGGCCUCGCGUCUGAUUAGCUAGUUGGUGAGGUAACGGCUCACCAAGGCGACGAUCAGUAGCCGGUCUGAGAGGAUGAACGGCCACAUUGGGACUGAGAUACGGCCCAGACUCCUACGGGAGGCAGCAGUGGGGAAUAUUGGGCAAUGGGGGAAACCCUGACCCAGCAACGCCGCGUGAAGGAAGAAGGCCCUCGGGUUGUAAACUUCUUUUACCAGGGACGAAGAACGUGACGGUACCUGGAGAAAAAGCCACGGCUAACUACGUGCCAGCAGCCGCGGUAAUACGUAGGUGGCAAGCGUUGUCCGGAUUUACUGGGUGUAAAGGGCGUGUAGGCGGAGAUGCAAGUCAGGAGUGAAAUCCCGGGGCUCAACCCCGGAACUGCUUUUGAAACUGUAUCCCUUGAGUGUCGGAGAGGCAAGCGGAAUUCCUAGUGUAGCGGUGAAAUGCGUAGAUAUUAGGAGGAACACCAGUGGCGAAGGCGGCUUGCUGGACGAUAACUGACGCUGAGGCGCGAAAGCGUGGGGAGCAAACAGGAUUAGAUACCCUGGUAGUCCACGCUGUAAACGAUGAAUACUAGGUGUGGGAGGACUGACCCCUUCCGUGCCGCAGUUAACACAAUAAGUAUUCCACCUGGGGAGUACGACCGCAAGGUUGAAACUCAAAGGAAUUGACGGAGGCCCGCACAAGCAGUGGAUUAUGUGGUUUAAUUCGACGCAACGCGAAGAACCUUACCAGGAUUUGACAUCCAACUAACGAAGUAGAGAUACAUUAGGUGCCCUUCGGGGAAAGUUGAGACAGGUGGUGCAUGGUUGUCGUCAGCUCGUGUCGUGAGAUGUUGGGUUAAGUCCCGCAACGAGCGCAACCCCUAUUGUUAGUUGCUACGCAAGAGCACUCUAGCGAGACUGCCGUUGACAAAACGGAGGAAGGCGGGGACGACGUCAAAUCAUCAUGCCCCUUAUGUCCUGGGCUACACACGUAAUACAAUGGUGGUAAACAGAGGGAAGCAAAACUGCGAAGUGGAGCAAAUCCCUAAAAGCCAUCUCAGUUCGGAUUGCAGGCUGCAUUUCGC